UGUGGCGGCUAUACUGGCAUUGUCCCACCUGUUCCCAUUUCGAACACAGAAGUGAAAUAUGCUAAGGCCGAUGAUAGUGACUUGGUCGCAAAAGUAGGUAGCCGCCACAA
Molecule: ribosomal RNA, 110 nt
Filed under: Candidatus Nealsoniibacteriota bacterium
Lineage: Bacteria; Candidatus Nealsoniibacteriota
Source: RNAcentral